GCACUGCUGAGGAGUUCCACAAUAGGACGAAGCCGCCGUCCAGUAU
Molecule: non-coding RNA, 46 nt
Filed under: Schistosoma mattheei
Lineage: Eukaryota; Metazoa; Platyhelminthes; Trematoda; Strigeidida; Schistosomatidae
Source: RNAcentral